RNAcentral lists this long non-coding RNA (742 nucleotides) under Homo sapiens (human). Its description in RNAcentral is "BCAS3 antisense RNA 1, transcript variant 1 (BCAS3-AS1)". The record is from RNAcentral. Lineage: Eukaryota; Metazoa; Chordata; Mammalia; Primates; Hominidae.
AGAAGCGGAAACAGGAGCAGCAGCAGCAGCAGCAGCGGCAGGAGAGGCACACAGGAGCCAGAUCCUAAAGGCUUUGUAUGCCACAUUAGGAAAGAAUUUGGAAUACAGCUUCUGUUUGGAAAACAUUUUCUGUAACCAGCCCGACAAUAUGACCUGCCAGCGUCACACAACUUUCAUACAAAGAAAUCAACUCAGUGGUCAGCGGAAACUUGAUGAUAGCAUAGUGGUCAAGCUUGUUUCUCCUGGGAGCGCUCUUCCGAGGAUAUUUGGGCUGUCUCCAGAGUCGCAGUGUCUUCGGCUGCCGGAAGGUAAGGAACCUGCUGCGCGUGAGAUCCCAUUACCAAGUAAAGGGUCACUGAAAGGCGAUAACAAGAGAAAGGGCUCAUGUCUGACUGCCAGUGUUAGCAUAAAGGAGAGCCAUUUUGCCAAGAACAAUACAGCCUGUGGAACUCACCAGAGAAGUGCCCCAGUAACAACCCGACCUGCAUUAUUUGCAAACCAUGACCUGGAUGUUCCGAAGAUAGCAGCCACACAAAAUUCUCCGCCCAUCGAUUUGCUGGGUGAAAUUUGUGGAGGAGGUUUAACUUUGCUUAAAAAAUAAAAUAAGAGUAAAAAACAAUUAUCAUGAUGAAAUGAUACUCCUUUAGGUAAUGACAGUUUUUCCUUUAAAUUCCACCCCUAUUCAAAUCCUCCAGUAUGAACAUGCAUUUUGCCUUAAGUAAUAAAUGGUGAUGUGAGACUA